GACGAACGCUGGCGGCGUGCUUAACACAUGCAAGUCGAACGGAAAGGCCCUGCUUUUGUGGGGUGCUCGAGUGGCGAACGGGGGAGUAACACGUGAGUAACCUGCCCUUGACUUUGGGAGAACUUCAGGAAACUGGGGCUAAUACCGGAUAGGAUCUCCUGCUGCAUGGUGGGGGUUGGAAAGUUUCGGCGGUGGGGGAUGGACUCGCGGCUUAUCAGCUGGUUGGGGGGGUAGUGGCUGACCCAGGGUUUGACGGGUACCCGGCAUGGGAGGGUGGACGGCGUCAUGGGGCCUGAGAUAGGGCCCAGACUCCAACGGGAGGCAGCAGUGGGGAGUCUUGCACAGUGGGCGGAAGCCUGUUGCAGAGGCGCCGCGUUCGGAAUGACGGCCUUCGGGUUAUGAACAGCUUUCGCCUGUGACGAAGCGUUAGUGACGGUAAUGGGUCAAGAAGCACCGGCUAACUACGUG
RNAcentral lists this ribosomal RNA (468 nucleotides) under uncultured bacterium. RNAcentral's name for it is "partial 16S ribosomal RNA". It matches the Rfam family "Bacterial small subunit ribosomal RNA", at positions 28 to 507 of the family's 1533-position model. The record is from RNAcentral.